CCCUAAAAAGUUCUAAGAGUACAAAGGCUUGGUCCUGGCCUUAUUAUUAACUGUUUCUUAACUUACACAUGCAAGUCUCAGCACACCAGUGAGGACAUCCUUUUUACCUCUAUCAGGUUAAAGGGCUGGCAUCAGGCACAACCACUUGCCCAUGACGCCUAGUUUCACCACACCCCCAAGGGUUUACAGCAGUGAUAAAUAUUAAUUAUAAGCGAUAGCUUGACUUAGUUAAAGAAUAGAGGGCCGGCCAAAUCGGUGCCAGCCGCCGCGGCUACACCUGGGGCCCAAGUUAAUAGUCAUCGGCGUUAAGCGUGAAGAAACUUGCAGAUUAGAGUUCAAUUAAUACCUUAUAUAGUAAAAAGUCUGAUAUUAAGAAAACCAAAAACGAAAGUUACUCUAACUAAAUAUUUUACACGACAGCUAGGGCACAAACUGGGAUUUGAUACCCCACUAUGCCUAGCCGUAAACAAUUAACUCACACCUAUCAACGCCAGGGAACUACGAGCAAUGCUUGAAACCCAAAGGACUUGACGGUUUCCCAACCCCCUAGAGGAGCCUGUUCUAUAAUCGAUGAUCCCCGAUACACCUCACCUCUCCUAGCGUUUCAGUCUGUAUACUUCCGUCUAAAGCUUGCCAUGUGAAUGCCGCCAGCAGGCCUAAUGAUUACCCGUCAAUAAGUCAGGUCAAGGUGCAACUAAAGGAGUGGGAAGUAAUUGGCUACAAUUUCUAAAUUAGAACACACGAAAAUCACGUGAAAUCGUGAUAUGAAGGCGGAUUUAGUAGUAAAAAGAAAAUAGAGAGUUCUUUUUAACUCGGCUCUGGGACGCGUACACACCGCCCGUCACCCUCUUCGAUACUUCUUCCAUCAGUUCAUAACCCUACAUUAUCCCUUAGAAGAGG
Molecule: non-coding RNA, 900 nt
Filed under: Indosylvirana aurantiaca (small wood frog)
Lineage: Eukaryota; Metazoa; Chordata; Amphibia; Anura; Ranidae
Description: partial 12S ribosomal RNA
Rfam family: Bacterial small subunit ribosomal RNA
Source: RNAcentral